This 115-nucleotide non-coding RNA is filed under the name Evansella cellulosilytica. RNAcentral describes it as "Bacillus cellulosilyticus TPP sequence". It matches the Rfam family "TPP riboswitch aptamer (THI element)". From Rfam's summary of the family: Vitamin B(1) in its active form thiamin pyrophosphate (TPP) is an essential coenzyme that is synthesised by coupling of pyrimidine and thiazole moieties in bacteria. The previously detected thiamin-regulatory element, thi box was extended, resulting in a new, highly conserved RNA secondary structure, the THI element, which is widely distributed in eubacteria and also occurs in some archaea. Analysis of operon structures identified a large number of new candidate thiamin-regulated genes, mostly transporters, in various prokaryotic organisms. Lineage: Bacteria; Bacillati; Bacillota; Bacilli; Caryophanales; Bacillaceae. The record is from RNAcentral. RNAcentral also lists the same sequence under 1 other name.
AGCAAUAACUAGGGGUGUCCAAUGAGUUGGGCUGAGAGAAAAGCACGUUGAAGCUUUUUGACCCUCAGGACCUGAUCUAGUUCAUACUAGCGUAGGGAAGUUCAUGCAGUUACUA